CCUGAUCCAGCCAUGCCGCGUGAAGGAAUAAGGUCCUUAGGGUCGUAAACUUCUUUUGACGCAGAGCAAUAAGGAACACGUGUGUUCCGAUGAGAGUAUGCGUCGAAUAAGCAUCGGCUAACUCCGUGCCAGCAGCCGCGGUAAUACGGAGGAUGCGAGCGUUAUCCGGAUUUAUUGGGUUUAAAGGGUGCGUAGGCUGUUGGAUAAGUCAGCGGUGAAAUCACCACGCUUAACGUGUUGUGUGCCGUUGAAACUGUCCAGCUUGAAUGCGCUCGUCGUGAGAGGAAUGUGUGGUGUAGCGGUGAAAUGCAUAGAUAUCACACAGAACACCGAUUGCGAAGGCAUCUCACGAGAGCGUUAUUGACGCUGAUGCACGAAAGCGCGGGUAUCGAACAGGAUUAGAUACCCUGGUAGUCCGCGCUGUAAACGAUGAUGACUAACCGUUGGUCUGGUAUGGAUCAGUGGUCAAGCGAAAGCGUUAAGUCAUCCACCUGGGGAGUACGGCCGCAAGGCUGAAACUCAAAGGAAUUGACGGGGGCCCGCACAAGCGGAGGAACAUGUGGUUUAAUUCGAUGAUACGCGAGGAACCUUACCCGGGCUCGAACGGCGGAUGA
Molecule: ribosomal RNA, 614 nt
Filed under: Bacteroidetes bacterium oral taxon 281
Lineage: Bacteria; Pseudomonadati; Bacteroidota
Description: bacterial SSU rRNA
Rfam family: Bacterial small subunit ribosomal RNA
Source: RNAcentral